This 410-nucleotide ribosomal RNA is filed under the name uncultured bacterium. RNAcentral describes it as "bacterial SSU rRNA". It matches the Rfam family "Bacterial small subunit ribosomal RNA", at positions 370 to 772 of the family's 1533-position model. The record is from RNAcentral.
AAUGGGCGCAAGCCUGAUCCAGCAAUGCCGCGUGUGUGAAGAAGGCCUGCGGGUUGUAAAGCACUUUAAGCAGGAAAGAAGGCUUCAGGGUUAAUACCCUUGGGGAUUGACGUUACCUGCAGAAUAAGCACCGGCUAACUCCGUGCCAGCAGCCGCGGUAAUACGGAGGGUGCGAGCGUUAAUCGGAAUUACUGGGCGUAAAGCGCGCGUAGGCGGUUUGCUAAGUCCGCUGUGAAAGCCCCGGGCUUAACCUGGGAACUGCAGUGGAUACUGGCAAGCUAGAGUAUGGUAGAGGAGAGUGGAAUUUCCGGUGUAGCAGUGAAAUGCGUAGAGAUCGGAAGGAACACCAGUGGCGAAGGCGGCUCUCUGGACCAAUACUGACGCUGAGGUGCGAAAGCGUGGGGAGCAAA